This is a long non-coding RNA of Ictalurus punctatus (channel catfish), 1429 nucleotides long. NCBI's taxonomy places the organism in Eukaryota, Metazoa, Chordata, Actinopteri, Siluriformes, Ictaluridae. The record is from Ensembl.
GUAAGAACAAAAACAAUUGAAAUCGUAAUAGAAAAUAAUUCAUAAAGUCGAAAAAAUCAAGAUCCCAUCCAUCUCCCGCAAUAUCUCCAAGCCUUAACCAUCACUGAUCAGCUGCAUUAAUCUACACUCUGGGCUAGGAAGAAAUCAGACCCAGCCUCGCUUCUUCAUACCAUUCUGUGUAUUUUAUUUACAACCGUUGGUGGUUCACAAAAGUCAAGGGAGAUCUUAGCCGUCCUAACUCAUUUAUACAAGCCAUCCUGCUGGAGAUGGGAUGAUUGUUUAUAGCUGCUAUAACAUAAGCAAUAACCAGAACUCACUCAUGGACGUUCCACAACCUUAAAGCAAUGAGUGAAUUAACAAAAUUGUUCAAAUCACAGGAAUAAAUGUGUUAUUAAUUUAUAACACCAACUCCAGAUGCCAUUUUACAGACACCAGUUUACAAACACCAACUUACAGAUGACAUAUUAUUUCAUAAUAUCUUUUCUCUGGAAUGUGUAAUCCAUGUGAUUUCCUUCAUGAAAUUAAUAGGAGUCAUUUAUCCGUUAUGGCUGCCCACAGUGUGCAAGCAUAGGCCUGUGUAGUCAUUAUCACCAGUGUUGGUGUCAAUGAGGCAAUGAAGAUAUGCAUGAGAUCUUUUGUAUGAUAAUUGGCUGUAGAUUAAACCAACACAUGACAAGGUGGAAAGCGUAAUCAUUUUUAUUUUAAAACACAAACCAACAAAGCGUUUUAUCAUCAUUUUCUGUCACCACUCAGAAAGUUGACCCAUAUGACCAAUAAUCCACACUUCCUUUUGAUUGUGUUGCAACAUACAGUUUACACAUGACUGCCUAAUAAUAGUUGGGGGAAUUUUUAUGGUUUGUUACAUGUUACAUUUCACUUGCAUACAGUAUCUCACAAAAGUGAGUACACCCCUCACAUUUUUGUAAAUAUUUGAUAUCUUUUCAUGUGACAACACUGAAGAAAUGUCACUUUGCUACAAUGUAAAGUAGUGAGUGUACAGCUUGUGUAACAGUGUAAAUUUGCUGUCCCCUCAAAAUAACUCAACACACAGCCAUUAAUGUCUAAACCGCUGGCAACAAAAGUGAAUACACCCCUAAGUGAAAAUAUCCAAAUUGGGCCCAAAUUGUCAAUAUUUUGUGUGGCCACCAUUAUUUUCCACACUGCCUUAACCCUCUUGGACAUGGAGUUCACCAGAGCUUCACAGGUUGCCCCUGGAGUCCUCUUCCACUCCUCCAUGACGACAUCACGGAUCUGGUGGAUGUUAGAGACCUUGUGCUCCUCCACCUUCCGUUUGAGGAUGCUCCACAUAUGCUCAAUAGGGUUUAGUCCAUCACCUUCACCCUCAGCUUCUUUAUCAAGGCAGUGGUCGUCUUGGUGGUGUGUUUGGGGUCAUUAUAAUGGAAUACUGCAUAAUGAUCAUGUUCUGCUU